RNAcentral lists this long non-coding RNA (228 nucleotides) under Elaeis guineensis (African oil palm). Its description in RNAcentral is "long non-coding RNA (EGUI_LNC076000)". The record is from RNAcentral. Lineage: Eukaryota; Viridiplantae; Streptophyta; Magnoliopsida; Arecales; Arecaceae.
UUCCUAGCAAUGCAAAGCAUAAAUAUGAACUUGUGCUUUAUAACACAACUUACACUACCCGCAGGUUUGCUUUGAUUUUGGUUAAUUGCUAGAUCUUUGAUGUUCAUACAACUCUACGAUAUUCUCGUACUCUGACUUUCGAAACAAAAACUCUAAAAAUAAGAUGAGCUUUUUGGAGAUCAAAGCUCUUAAAGCUAUCAAUCUCCUAUAAUUUUUAUUCUAUUAUGG